GCUUAUAGGGUGCAGCGUCUUCUUUCUCUUACGUACUUGCAAGUAGAAUUUAAAUAAUUCAAGUACAAUGCUGAAAAAAAAAUGAGAUAUAAAACACCCCCUGAAGCCACGAGCAUAACAUCUUUGCAUAUAGACCCAAUCUUGAGUAAAAAAGAUACCACAACUUUGGUCUCUUUCAAUAAAAUCAUCCCAUAAUAAAUCAACAAAACAAAAAGUUAUCUAACAUUGCUAUUCUAGUCUAUCCACUACUGUACCUACAUGAAUAUAAUCUCAAUCAGAUAUAUGUAAUGCUAGAGCUAGUGCACAAAAAUAGAUACCAUAAUUUUUUUGUCUAUCAAUAUAUAUGUGUUUGUGUGUGUACACGCAUGUAUGCAUACUGAAAGGGCACUUGUUUUAUGCUAAGAUCUUUGAAAUGAAAGGCAUCCCAUUAAAAUCAGCAGCAGGCAAGGGUUUUGAAAGACUAGGUAGAACUAACAGGCGACUCUGAGAAGCUGCAAUACUUUACCCAGGAAUGAAACAAGUGUACCCAUGGCAGCUUCUGAGCUUCUCGAGACAGGUUCUUAAAAUGGCCGCAUGUUUGGCAAGCUAGGGUGGAGAAUUUGCGAUGCCCAUUGAGGGGGUUGUUCUCAUUCAAAACCAAACAUUUUCUGAAACAUUGUAAACCAAACAAUACCAAUGUCUGAAAUCAGCAACAUUCCUUGAGAGAGGCAGAUUUCAAAGGCAUAACAAUCUACUAGAUGGCCUAAUUAUGCAUGCCACGGCUCCAGAGAUGGGCUUCCCCGAAUGAUUUGCUAUUGAUCAUAACCACAUAUUUCAGUCUUUUGUGAGGCAAAACUUAGCAGGCUCAACAUAAUUCAACUACUAGAUGCCCAAAUUUUUUUCUGUUUUCAGAACAAUAAGAAUAAUUUUACUCUUUACUUAACCACAUUGCUAAUUCCUAAUAUGAUAGUAAGAUAUCCAAUUAUCACACAUCACACGCCACUUAAAAGCCAAAUCAGAUACAAAAUUAUCCAAAAUCUAGGUUGUCUCAACCAUUACAUCAAAAUAAUUGAAGCGAUAUCUGUAGAUAAAAAUGUGUACACAUGCACCUGCACACUUCCCAUUUUCUGUUUAUCUCUAUUCUUCAAAUUUAGAUUAGAUCAAGAUAAUACAGUCAGGUAAAUUUUCCAGACAACAGAAUCUGGAUAAAUCCCAUCCAUGAUGGUGACUGAAAAAGACCUAUCUGGAUACCUGUCAUGACAGUGCCAAAGCAUAACAACUCAUGUUUCCAGCAUACAGAAAACACUAGUUCUUCAUGGUUCUGAAAGCUGGAAAGUAAUUUACAAGCACCCCCCACUCCCACCCCCGGAAAAAAAAAAGAAAAGAAGAAGAUAUCUUCCACCGGCUGACAUUUAUUAUUUCAAACUCAAGACAAGCAAAUCACAAUCACUGCUAUGACAAAUCGCCAUAUUCCACAUUCAAUUUAAUUUGGGUUCUGACUCAGAGAUCUCAAACAUUAGCAAAACCUACCAAAGGCGACAGCAGUAAAUGCAAACUUGUCUCAUUACGCAAAGUCAGCAUGACAAAAGCAAGAUCAGUUUGACAGAUCUUCCAGCAAUUCAGAGAGUUUGGCACAAUGUAUUUUAUUGGUAAAGAAAACAACCAUCAAUAGCGUGAAAAAAAAGAGACUGAAAGUGCCAGCCUAGAAUUAAUACUUGGAAAUUGCAAUCUGGAUUUCUCAUAUGUCAUUAAUAAAGCAUUGUGCGGUUAAACAGUAUCAAGUUUCCAUCCCACAGAAAACACUCAUUCUUCAUAAUCUCCACUAGUUCAGAAAGCUGGAAAGUAAUUCUGUAUCCUGCCAGAGAUUGAAGACGACCUCGUCCACUGGCACAGAUUUACAUUUCAAACUCAGAACAAUCAAACCACAAACAUUGCUACGACAAAUCACCAUAUUCCGGUCUUUGGUUUCUAGACAAGGGACUGCAAGCUGAAGGUGACAGCAGUAAAUGCAAACUUGUCUCCGUAAGCAAUAAUAUGACCAGAGAAAGAUCGGUUCAACAAAUCUUACAAUUCAGAAGGCUGGGCAUAAAGAAAAGAAUCAUAUAGAAGUACCAGACUAGAAUUAUACAUCAAAAUUGCAGUAUGAAAUCUCUCAUAGGUCAGGAUAAAGCAUCCCGCAUUUCGUGUUUCCAGCCUAAAGAAAACUCGUUCUUUAUUACAUAGUUCUGAAAAUUGGAAAGUCAUUUACAAGCCCAACGAAGAUCAAAGUCUACUUCUACUGGCCCACAUUUACUAAUUCAAACCCAAGACAAGGAAAUUACAAUUAUUGCUAUGACAAAUCACCAUAUUCCACGGUCAAUACAAUUUGGAUCCUAAGUGAAGGAUUUUAACAGUUAAUGAACCCAAUUUGAAGGUGACAGCAGUAAAUGCAAUCUCAUCUUACUAAGAAAAGUCGAAAUGACAAGAAAGAUUAGUUAGACAAAUCUUCUAACAACUAAGAGACAGUUCAUCAAUUAAUGGAUGAAGAAAACAGNNNNNNNNNNNNNNNNNNNNNNNNNNNNNNNNNNNNNNNNNNUAUACUUGAAUUUGGAUCAUCAUUUGAUAAUGUAAAGAAAACCAAAAAUGAAAAAAUACGUUUAGUAGCAAUUACUCUGAAUCAUGUGAGUAAGGUGAUAUUAUGGGUUUCUGACAGUGAUCUGCAACAACUUUUAAUGGUGCUUGGAUGGAUGAUAAAGCUAGACAAUUUAAGAACAAUACAAUAGAGAAAAAUUAAUUUGUGAGCAGGACAUAAUUUAGAGAGGGUUCAAAAAGGAGUAUCUCAGAAUCAGAUCGUCAUAUGGAUUUAAAAUUAUUUGAAAAUUGGAGGCCAAUGACCAUGUAAUGAUGAUGUGGCAUCAUAAAUACUCCACUAAACCUUAAUUCUAAACUAGUGGGGAUAAGCUACAUGAAUCCUUUUACUCCAUUCCAACUGGUUUACGGUCAUAUUUUCUAAAAAAUGUUGAGAUAUCAAGUGGAAUAUAGUAACAUCAGGUGCUCCUCCAUAUAAACCCACCGAUCACAGAAUGACUGCUGUAGGCUAUGGAAAUGAUACAGUGAGGUUUUCCAUGCCAUAAGCCAUGACAUAAGCAACCUUUAGAUCAUCAACUUGAAAUCUAAUACAGAGUAAGAUGGUCAGAUGAGAAAUGUCAAAUCUCAAAUCACAGUCUAUGAGAAAUUAGGUUCUGCUUAAGAACUUCGCCAUGCAGUUCACUUGAUUGUAUGAUUUAUUAUAACCUACAUUAUUAACUAAACAUUCCAAAAAAAGAAAAUAAUCAAUAUUUCUCUGCGUCAUGUGUGUUCUCACCUCCUGCUCUUUGCAGGCAAACAGAACCUAGAAUAUUUGUGCAAUGGACUUUACAAUGUACCAGCAAGUGGCAAAAGGCUUACCCACAAUGUAUUGGCAAAAGGAGAUGCAAUUCAGAGCAAUUAAGAGUCAAAUAGAUAGUCAAAUAAA
RNAcentral lists this long non-coding RNA (3472 nucleotides) under Phoenix dactylifera (date palm). RNAcentral's name for it is "long non-coding RNA (PDAC_LNC003163)". Lineage: Eukaryota; Viridiplantae; Streptophyta; Magnoliopsida; Arecales; Arecaceae. The record is from RNAcentral.